GAUGAACGCUAGCUACAGGCUUAACACAUGCAAGUCGAGGGACCGGCGCACGGGUGAGUGACACGUAUCCAACCUGCCCUUUACUCGGGGAUAGCCUUUCGAAAGACAGAUUAAUACCCGAUAUAAAGGAUGGGGAUGCGUUCCAUUAGGUUGUUGGUGAGGUAACGGCCAACCAAGCCUUCGAUGGAUAGGGGUUCUGAGAGGAAGGUCCCCCAAAUAGGAACUGAGGCACGGUCCAAACUCCUACGGGAGGCAGCAGUGAGGAAUAUUGGUCAAUGGGCGGUAGCCUGAACCAGCCAAGUAGCGGGAAGGAGGAAGGCUGAUGGGUCGUAAACUUCUUUUAUAGAAGAAUAUGUAUUAGAUGAAUAAGGAUCGGCUAACUCCGUGCCAGCAGCCGCGGUAAUAC
RNAcentral lists this ribosomal RNA (406 nucleotides) under uncultured bacterium. Its description in RNAcentral is "partial 16S ribosomal RNA". It matches the Rfam family "Bacterial small subunit ribosomal RNA", at positions 28 to 526 of the family's 1533-position model. The record is from RNAcentral.